UGGGGAAUAUUGCACAAUGGGCGCAAGCCUGAUGCAGCCAUGCCGCGUGUGUGAAGAAGGCCUUCGGGUUGUAAAGCACUUUCAGCGGGGAGGAAGGCGAUAAGGUUAAUAACCUCCUCGAUUGACGUUACCCGCAGAAGAAGCACCGGCUAACUCCGUGCCAGCAGCCGCGGUAAUACGGAGGGUGCAAGCGUUAAUCGGAAUUACUGGGCGUAAAGCGCACGCAGGCGGUCUGUCAAGUCGGAUGUGAAAUCCCCGGGCUCAACCUGGGAACUGCAUUCGAAACUGGCAGGCUAGAGUCUUGUAGAGGGGGGUAGAAUUCCAGGUGUAGCGGUGAAAUGCGUAGAGAUCUGGAGGAAUACCGGUGGCGAAGGCGGCCCCCUGGACAAAGACUGACGCUCAGGUGCGAAAGCGUGGGGAGCAAACAGG
RNAcentral lists this ribosomal RNA (429 nucleotides) under Chloroflexota bacterium. RNAcentral's name for it is "Chloroflexi bacterium partial 16S ribosomal RNA". It matches the Rfam family "Bacterial small subunit ribosomal RNA", at positions 355 to 776 of the family's 1533-position model. Lineage: Bacteria; Bacillati; Chloroflexota. The record is from RNAcentral.